RNAcentral lists this unclassified non-coding RNA (506 nucleotides) under uncultured Glomus. RNAcentral describes it as "SSU rRNA". It matches the Rfam family "Eukaryotic small subunit ribosomal RNA", at positions 569 to 1082 of the family's 1831-position model. Lineage: Eukaryota; Fungi; Glomeromycota; Glomeromycetes; Glomerales; Glomeraceae. The record is from RNAcentral.
AGCAGCCGCGGUAAUUCCAGCUCCAAUAGCGUAUAUUAAAGUUGUUGCAGUUAAAAGCUCGUAGUUGAAUUUCGGGAUCAAAGGAUCGGUCAUGCCUUGGUAUGUACUGGUUUUAUUGGUUCUCACCUUCUAAAGAACCAUAAUGUCAUUCAUUUGAUGUUAUGGGGAAUUAGGACUGUUACCUUGAAAAAUUAGAGUGUUUAAAGCAGGCUUACGCUUGAAUACAUUAGCAUGGAAUAAUGAAAUAGGACAUCAGAUUCUAUUUUGUUGGUUUCUAGGAUCGAUGUAAUGAUUAAUAGGGAUAGUUGGGGGCAUUAGUAUUCAAUUGUCAGAGGUGAAAUUCUUGGAUUUAUUGAAGACUAACUACUGCGAAAGCAUUUGCCAAGGAUGUUUUCAUUAAUCAAGAACGAAAGUUAGGGGAUCGAAGACGAUCAGAUACCGUCGUAGUCUUAACCAUAAACUAUGCCGACUAGGGAUCGGAUGAUGUUAAUUUUAUAAUUGACUCU